RNAcentral lists this ribosomal RNA (791 nucleotides) under uncultured Rhodoferax sp. RNAcentral's name for it is "bacterial SSU rRNA". It matches the Rfam family "Bacterial small subunit ribosomal RNA", at positions 10 to 794 of the family's 1533-position model. The record is from RNAcentral. Lineage: Bacteria; Pseudomonadati; Pseudomonadota; Betaproteobacteria; Burkholderiales; Comamonadaceae.
AGUUUGAUCCUGGCUCAGAUUGAACGCUGGCGGCAUGCCUUACACAUGCAAGUCGAACGGCAGCACGGGAGCAAUCCUGGUGGCGAGUGGCGAACGGGUGAGUAAUAUAUCGGAACGUGCCCAGUCGUGGGGGAUAACGCAGCGAAAGCUGUGCUAAUACCGCAUACGAUCUACGGAUGAAAGCGGGGGACUCGCAAGAGCCUCGCGCGAUUGGAGCGGCCGAUAUCAGAUUAGCUAGUUGGUGGGGUAAAAGCCCACCAAGGCGACGAUCUGUAGCUGGUCUGAGAGGACGACCAGCCACACUGGAACUGAGACACGGUCCAGACUCCUACGGGAGGCAGCAGUGGGGAAUUUUGGACAAUGGGCGCAAGCCUGAUCCAGCAAUGCCGCGUGCAGGAUGAAGGCCUUCGGGUUGUAAACUGCUUUUGUACGGAACGAAAAGGCCUGUUUUAAUACAGUGGGCUCAUGACGGUACCGUAAGAAUAAGCACCGGCUAACUACGUGCCAGCAGCCGCGGUAAUACGUAGGGUGCGAGCGUUAAUCGGAAUUACUGGGCGUAAAGCGUGCGCAGGCGGUUUUGUAAGACAGAUGUGAAAUCCCCGGGCUCAACCUGGGACCUGCAUUUGUGACUGCAAGGCUAGAGUACGGUAGAGGGGGAUGGAAUUCCGCGUGUAGCAGUGAAAUGCGUAGAUAUGCGGAGGAACACCGAUGGCGAAGGCAAUCCCCUGGACCUGUACUGACGCUCAUGCACGAAAGCGUGGGGAGCAAACAGGAUUAGAUACCCUGGUAGA